UACGGAGGAUGCGAGCGUUAUCCGGAUUUAUUGGGUUUAAAGGGUGCGUAGGCGGGAUGCCAAGUCAGCGGUAAAAAUGCGGUGCUCAACGCCGUCGAGCCGUUGAAACUGGCGUUCUUGAGUGCAGGAGAGGAGAGUGGAAUUCCAUGUGUAGCGGUGAAAUGCGUAGAUAUAUAGAGGAACACCGGUGGCGAAAGCGGCUCUCUGGCCUGUAACUGACACUGAGGCUCGAAAGCGUGGAGAGCAAACAGG
Molecule: ribosomal RNA, 252 nt
Filed under: uncultured bacterium
Lineage: Bacteria
Description: partial 16S ribosomal RNA
Rfam family: Bacterial small subunit ribosomal RNA
Source: RNAcentral